Molecule: long non-coding RNA, 428 nt
Organism: Colossoma macropomum (tambaqui)
Lineage: Eukaryota; Metazoa; Chordata; Actinopteri; Characiformes; Serrasalmidae
Exons: 2
Source: RefSeq, a predicted model, not a curated record
UUUGUGAUGAAUUAUAGAGGAGCUAAAGCAUAACUGUGUAGGCCUGGAUGAGAAAGAGAAAGUUGGUGUUCUAAGGUCUUAUAGGCACUUCUUGGACAUUUAAAGAGACGUGAAAUCCUGUCCACUCAUUUACAACCCAAAUGGCUGUGGAGCGAUGUGAUCGGGAAUCUGCUGGACCCCGGGCGUGUUUUUAUUCCUCCAUCGAGGGACGAGAGGCAAACUUCCUCACCGCAUCAUUUCCAUUUCUGAAAUUCGGUUUACUUUCUCCCAGAUCUACUUGCUGACAUCAGCCCUGCUGUUUGAGGGCGCAGUCGGUGUGUGUUUAUUUCUUGACUUCUUGGCAUUCAGCUGCAGUUAACAAAGUGAUUUAUGUGAUUUUCUUAAUAACCAAUAAAACAUUUGGUGAUUUUUUUUCUUCUGUUAACACA